GCGUGCCUAUCAUGCAAGUCGAGCGAACCACUUCGGUGGUGAGCGGCGAACGGGUGAGUAACACGUAGGUGAUCCGCCCAUCAGACGGGGACAACGAUUGGAAACGAUCGCUAAUACCGGAUAGGACGAAAGUUUAAAGGUGCUCCUGGCACCGCUGAUGGAUGAGCCUGCGGCGCAUUAGCUGGUUGGUAGGGUAAAGGCCUACCAAGGCGACGAUGCGUAGCCGACCUGAGAGGGUGAACGGCCACACUGGGACUGAGACACGGCCCAGACUCCUACGGGAGGCAGCAGUAGGGAAUCUUCGGCAAUGGGCGAAAGCCUGACCGAGCAACGCCGCGUGAAUGAUGAAGGCCUUCGGGUUGUAAAAUUCUGUUAUAAGGGAAGAACGACUUUAGUAGGAAAUGGCUAAAGUGUGACGGUACCUUAUGAGAAAGCCACGGCUAACUACGUGCCAGCAGCCGCGGUAAU
Molecule: ribosomal RNA, 468 nt
Filed under: uncultured bacterium
Lineage: Bacteria
Description: bacterial SSU rRNA
Rfam family: Bacterial small subunit ribosomal RNA
Source: RNAcentral